RNAcentral lists this ribosomal RNA (253 nucleotides) under uncultured bacterium. RNAcentral describes it as "partial 16S ribosomal RNA". It matches the Rfam family "Bacterial small subunit ribosomal RNA", at positions 524 to 776 of the family's 1533-position model. The record is from RNAcentral.
UACGUAGGGUGCAGGCGUUAAUCGGAAUUACUGGGCGUAAAGCGUGCGCAGGCGGUUUUGUUAGCCAGAUGUGAAAUCCCCGGGCUUAACCUGGGAAUGGCAUUUGGGACUGCAAGGCUCGAGUGCGGCAGAGGAGACUGGAAUUCCUGGUGUAGCAGUGAAAUGCGUAGAUAUCUGGAGGAACACCGGUGGCGAAGGCGGCAUCCUGGACCGAGAUUGACGCUGAGGCGCGAAAGCUAGGGGAGCAAACGGG